GGACUUAAAAUCCGUCGACUUUAUAAGUUGUGAGGGUUCAAGUCCCUCUAUCCCCA
RNAcentral lists this transfer RNA (56 nucleotides) under Elymus repens. RNAcentral describes it as "partial tRNA-Leu". It matches the Rfam family "tRNA", at positions 28 to 71 of the family's 71-position model. From Rfam's summary of the family: Transfer RNA (tRNA) molecules are approximately 80 nucleotides in length. Their secondary structure includes four short double-helical elements and three loops (D, anti-codon, and T loops). Lineage: Eukaryota; Viridiplantae; Streptophyta; Magnoliopsida; Poales; Poaceae. The record is from RNAcentral. RNAcentral also lists the same sequence under 1 other name.